RNAcentral lists this ribosomal RNA (155 nucleotides) under Boerlagiomyces sp. MD-2016. RNAcentral describes it as "5.8S ribosomal RNA". It matches the Rfam family "5.8S ribosomal RNA". Rfam says of the family: 5.8S ribosomal RNA (5.8S rRNA) is a component of the large subunit of the eukaryotic ribosome. It is transcribed by RNA polymerase I as part of the 45S precursor that also contains 18S and 28S rRNA. Lineage: Eukaryota; Fungi; Ascomycota; Dothideomycetes; Tubeufiales; Tubeufiaceae. The record is from RNAcentral.
AACUUUCAACAACGGAUCUCUUGGUUCUGGCAUCGAUGAAGAACGCAGCGAAAUGCGAUAAGUAAUGUGAAUUGCAGAAUUUAGUGAAUCAUCGAAUCUUUGAACGCACAUUGCGCCCCUUGGUAUUCCGAGGGGCAUGCCUGUUCGAGCGUCAU